RNAcentral lists this unclassified non-coding RNA (361 nucleotides) under soil metagenome. Its description in RNAcentral is "partial contains 5.8S ribosomal RNA, internal transcribed spacer 2, and large subunit ribosomal RNA". The stretch from base 1 to 120 matches the Rfam family "5.8S ribosomal RNA", at positions 35 to 154 of the family's 154-position model. The record is from RNAcentral.
GAUGAAGAACGUAGCGAAAUGCGAUAAGUAAUGUGAAUUGCAGAAUUCAGUGAAUCAUCGAAUCUUUGAACGCACAUUGCGCCCGGUAGUAAUCCGCCGGGCAUGCCUGUCCGAGCGUCAUUUCAACCCUCGAACCACUAUUCGCGUAGCUGGAUCGGUGUUGGGGCACUACGGUGGAAUACCCGUAGGCCCCGAAAUGAAGUGGCGGUCCCGCCGCGGCGCCCCCAUGCGUAGUAACAUCUCGUCUCGCAUCGGGUCCCGGCGGAGGCCUGCCGUCAAGCCUAUUUUCUAAUUACAGAUGGUUUGACCUCGGAUCAGGUAGGGUUACCCGCUGAACUUAAGCAUAUCAAUAAGCGGAGGA